Molecule: non-coding RNA, 241 nt
Organism: Cinara cedri
Lineage: Eukaryota; Metazoa; Arthropoda; Insecta; Hemiptera; Aphididae
Source: the annotation of a GenBank genome assembly
CAGAUAACGAGUAUUCUUGUUCAGUGUACUACGUAUUUCAUGUUUUUGUAUACAUUUUGUAUUAUAUGUUUUUUGUUUUACUGGUACUGUUUACUAAUAAAUAAUAAUAGCAAGAGUAAAUAUUAUAAUAGGUUUCAGACUUUCAAAAAAAUGUUAUCUAUAAUAUGUAGUUCCACUUCUUAUUUUACUCAACCCACCUUUGUUUUGCAAAUAUAGAUCCUUAGCUUACUAUUUAGCCAUU